CCUACGGGCGGCAGCAGUGAGGAAUAUUGGUCAAUGGCCGGAAGGCUGAACCAGCCAUGCCGCGUUAAGGUCAGUGCCCUAUGGGCGUUAAACUUCUUUUGUGCGGGAGCAAUAAUGGUCACGUGUGGCCAGACGAGAGUACCGUACGAAUAAGCAUCGGCUAACUCCGUGCCAGCAGCCGCGGUAAUACGGGGGUUGCAAGCAUUAUCCGGAUUUAUUGGGGUUAAAGGGUGCGUAGGCUGUGAGGUAAGUCAGCGGUGAAAUGCCCCCGCUCAACGGGGUGAAGUGCCAUUGAUACUGCCUUGCUGGAAUGCGGAUGCCGUGGGAGGAAUGUGUGGUGUAGCGGUGAAAUGCAUAGAUAUCACACAGAACACCGAUUGCGAAGGCAUCUCACGAAUCCGCGAUUGACGCUGAUGCACGAAAGCGUGGGUAUCAAACAGGAUUAGAUACCCUUGUAGUC
Molecule: ribosomal RNA, 460 nt
Filed under: uncultured bacterium
Lineage: Bacteria
Description: partial 16S ribosomal RNA
Rfam family: Bacterial small subunit ribosomal RNA
Source: RNAcentral